This 468-nucleotide ribosomal RNA is filed under the name uncultured bacterium. Its description in RNAcentral is "partial 16S ribosomal RNA". It matches the Rfam family "Bacterial small subunit ribosomal RNA", at positions 28 to 507 of the family's 1533-position model. The record is from RNAcentral.
GACGAACGCUGGCGGCGUGCUUAACACAUGCAAGUCGAACGGAAAGGCCCUGCUUUUGUGGGGUGCUCGAGUGGCGAACGGGUGAGUAACACGUGAGUAACCUGCCCUUGACUUUGGGAUAACUUCAGGAAACUGGGGCUAAUACCGGAUAAGAGCUCCUGCUGCAUGGUGGGGGUUGGAAAGUUUCGGCGGUUGGGGAUGGACUCGCGGCUUAUCAGCUUGUUGGUGGGGUAGUGGCUUACCAAGGCUUUGACGGGUAGCCGGCCUGAGAGGGUGACCGGCCACAUUGGGACUGAGCUACGGCCCAGACUCCUACGGGAGGUAGCAGUGGGGAAUAUUGCACAAUGGGCGGAAGCCUGAUGCAGCAACGCCGCGUGCGGGAUGACGGCCUUCGGGUUGUAAACCGCUUUCGCCUGUGACGAAGCGUGAGUGACGGUAAUGGGUAAAGAAGCACCGGCUAACUACGUG